Molecule: small nuclear RNA, 118 nt
Filed under: Amphibalanus amphitrite
Lineage: Eukaryota; Metazoa; Arthropoda; Thecostraca; Balanomorpha; Balanidae
Description: U5 spliceosomal RNA
Rfam family: U5 spliceosomal RNA
About the family: U5 RNA is a component of both types of known spliceosome.
Source: RNAcentral
AAGAAAGAAUUUCCCUUCAAAACGUACAAAUCUUUCGCCUUUUACUAAAGAUUUCCGUGGAGGGGAACACUCAAAUGAGUAUUCGCUGAAUUUCUUACGGCCACCACAAUGGUGGCCU